UGGGGAUGGCGGCAUGCUAUAAUGCAGUCGAGCGAAUGGAUUAAGAGCUUGCUCUUAUGAAGUUAGCGGCGGCCGGGUGAGUAACACGUGGGUAACCUGCCCAUAAGACUGGGAUAACUCCGGGAAACCGGGGCUAAUACCGGAUAACAUUUUGAACCGCAUGGUUCGAAAUUGAAAGGCGGCUUCGGCUGUCACUUAUGGAUGGACCCGCGUCGCAUUAGCUAGUUGGUGAGGUAACGGCUCACCAAGGCAACGAUGCGUAGCCGACCUGAGAGGGUGAUCGGCCACACUGGGACUGAGACACGGCCCAGACUCCUACGGGAGGCAGCAGUAGGGAAUCUUCCGCAAUGGACGAAAGUCUGACGGAGCAACGCCGCGUGAGUGAUGAAGGCUUUCGGGUCGUAAAACUCUGUUGUUAGGGAAGAACAAGUGCUAGUUGAAUAAGCUGGCACCUUGACGGUACCCAACCAGAAAGCCACCGGCUAAAUACGGCCAACAGCCGCGGGUAAUAAGUAAGUGGGAAAGCGUUUCCCGGAAUUUGGGUCGUUAACGGCGGGCAGGGGUUUUUUAAGUCGUAGUGAAAAGCCCAGGGCUCACCCGGGGAGGGUCUUUGAAAAAUAGGAAAAUUGUUUGGGAAAAAAGGAAAGGGGAUCUCCUUUUGUUCGGGUAUAUUGGUUAAA
RNAcentral lists this ribosomal RNA (680 nucleotides) under Bacillus cereus. Its description in RNAcentral is "bacterial SSU rRNA". It matches the Rfam family "Bacterial small subunit ribosomal RNA", at positions 26 to 694 of the family's 1533-position model. The record is from RNAcentral. Lineage: Bacteria; Bacillati; Bacillota; Bacilli; Caryophanales; Bacillaceae.